Esox lucius (northern pike) is the source of this 4641-nucleotide long non-coding RNA. RefSeq lists it as uncharacterized. The record is from RefSeq and is a predicted model, not a curated record. NCBI's taxonomy places the organism in Eukaryota, Metazoa, Chordata, Actinopteri, Esociformes, Esocidae. The transcript has 2 exons.
GAGAGUCCAAACAUCAAAGCCAUUUCGCCUACCAUAUAACCCAACACCAAAUACAAUAAGCCUCCCAAAAGAUCCUCUUGAUUUAACCAACCAUGCCUUGGUUUCUUAUAUAGUUUUCUGAGUCUCUGCAGAUCUCUAGUUUAUUGAUUAGGGACAGCUGUCAACCACUCAUUUACUUAGAUGUUGUGAUUUGUCCAAUUUAUUUCAGAAAAGGCUGCAUUCAGAAUGGAAAAAUGGAAACAGUAUUUAGGGGUAUUCCAGCACGCUGAAAUAAUGAGUAUACAAGAUAUGACAAAAAUAUUGAGCUUGACAUAUGGCCUGGGGGGUAUUGCAUAAGAGUAGAAUUAAGAAAGCCAGGAUAACAGAACAAUCGCGGCUUGACCUAGUUUAAUCAGUGCAUCCUGGCUCAAUCCGUUGCACGUUUGCUAAACCAGGAUGAGACCGCGCGGAUAUGUCAAACCAGGUGUAUAUAGUUUGGAUAAAUGCCCGUUCACGGCAUUCUUAAAAAGAUCACGAAAUCGAUCACAGAAUCACCGAUGGAAAAAUGGAAAUCACCCGUGCGGCAUACUUUUCACCAACUGAACAACAGCUUCUUAUGGAAACUUAUGAAGAAGUAAAGCAUAUAAUAUGUAAAAAAAUGCAAUACAGCUGCCGUAAUAAAGCAAAGAGAGAAUGCCUGGCAAACAAUAGCGGACCGAUUGAAUGCAACAAACAUGUCUGGCCAAAAAGGACUUGGCAGCAAGUCAAGAUUAAAUACAAGAAUAUUUUGCAGGCUGGUAAAUGACUUGUUUGCGGAGAACAUAGGUGACAUGUUUGCUGACAUUUUAUUGUCUGUGCUGAUUUUAGCAAUAAAAAAAAGUCAUAUAUCUGGUACAGGGGGUGGCCAUACAACCCAAGACUUCACCACAGCAGAGGAGCUGGCCCUGGACUUAAAUACAGGGAAGCCAGUGAUUGAAGGGAUCCAGGGAGGGACAGCCACUGACUCUGGCCCAGCAAGGGAUACUGGCCUCUUCAUACAAUAUUGAAAUCCAUAUAUUUUAUGUGGACUGUGUGACUUUGCUUUACCUUGCAGUGGCUGGUAAUACCCUUACACUUUUGGAGCCACCAGACUAUGAUUCGCCAGUGAGUACUCUUUAUUAAAUCAUAGGCUUUGCAUGUCCUGCCAAAAAUAUCAAUACAAGUAUUGAAUAUGGCAGAGGGAAGCCACAUCUACAGCAGUGGACUGCACUUCUGCUGAUGAUGAGACCGUGUCACUGGACUCCAGAAGGCUCGAGGUAUCAUGUCAAUUUUGUGGAAAGACAAAACAUUUUAAGUUCAUGAUAAGAAGUCAGGGAAGUGGUACUAAUAGAAAAUAUCAUUUGUUACAGGAUCCUGACAUUGGGCAGCCUGAUAAGGUGCCUAGUAACAUAGUGAGUAUUGCCUAAAGUAGAUUUACAUUUUGCAAAAAUUCUGCUGUGCUAACUAAAAGUUGUUCACAGAAUUCACAAACAGUUAGAUAUCUCUACACAACGCAUCUUAAGAGACCGAUCAAGCUGACCGAAGUCAAGAUUGAUGUAAACAAAAGAAAGCUGCAGCAGGACAUGGACCUUGAGAUGCAAAUUAAACUCAAGACACUGAGGAAACUAGAACUGGAAAUCCAGAAACUAGAAAGAGAAGUAAGUGACUUAAGUUCAAACUGUAACCAUGACUGUAACACAAUGUAGUAAUCAUCAUUUUCUCUCCAAAGCUCCAAGCUGACCAGUGAUAACAGCAAAAUAAUAGAAAUAUUCAAAAAUUGUGGUCUUGUAACUUUUUUUAUGACGGUCAUGUACACUUUAUAGUUAUUGAUCCAGUGAAGUGGAACUAGAAUUUGGGAAAAUAACCACAGUGUGUGCUACCAAUGCCAAAUAAAAUGCAUGUACACAUGAAAAAGUUAUAUAACCUACAUUAUCCUUUAUUAAGGGAUGGGCUGAAUCAAAAUGAAAUUCAAUAAAAUAAUUUGCAAUGUAUUGUUCUCUAACAAGUCUACCAUUUCUGUUAUCUGGGAAUAUGGCAGCAUUGUCCCAAUCAACAUCCAAAGCAACUCUGGGAGCCCUUUCUUUUCUUAGGCUGGCAAUAUUGUGCAGCACAGUGCAGGCAACAGUCACGUCACAUGCUCUGUCUGGGGAGACCCAUGAUUUCAGGAGGCCAAAGGUCAUUUCAAUUCGAGCCCUUGUUUGGGCAUGGUUGUAUGCUUGCUGUGCUGGGGUUUGGGGGUCUGUAAGGGGAGUCAUCAGAAAUGUCUCACAGGCAUAGCCUUGGUCCCCCAGCAGCACACCAGAGAACUCACCUGUGAAUACAAAACAUAAUUCUUACAAGUACUGUACUCUUGAUGUUCAAGGUGCUUUAAAAAAAUGGGGUGGCUUACCUAGAGAGAGUCUCUGGUAAAUUCUACUGGUCCGAAAACUUCUGGAGUCAUGGACUGAGCCAGGCCACUUUGCCUCUAAAUUUGUGAUAAGGCAGUCACCAUCACAGAUCAUCUGUAAAAAUAUAUAGUCUAUUAAGGUCCUUUAAUGCAAUAAUUAUGUAGCUGACAGUAACCAUAUCCCAUUCUUACCUGAACAUUGACACUGUGGAAGGAUUUCCUGUUAACAUAAUCUCCCUCAUGUGCCCCUGAGGGGCGUUGGAUACGAAUAUGGGUGCAAUCCACUGUACCAAUUACAUUAGGAAAUGCUGUAACACAAAAUAAUGAGUGUCAUACUGUGACUGUGCUAAGGUAACAUUUUGUGGUAAUCUGUUAUUCGUGUUACUUGCAAUCUUGUAGAACUCCUCCUUGAUGUGGAUGAAUCUUCUGUGAUCAGGGAAGGUGAUAAAUAUGUGCACAAGAGAUUUCAAUGCCAGACUUACAUUUCUUAUUGUGCGGCAAAUAGUGGCUUUAGAGGUUUUCUGCAUCACCGACAGAAUACAGAAACAUGCCACUUGCAAAGAAUCGCAGUGCUACGCAGACCAUCUGUGGGACAGUGAGAGCAUGGCUCCAUGCUGUCCUGUGCUGUAUGCUUGGACCCAGCAGCCUACACAAAUAUCUGAUGCCAUCACCUGAGAAUCUGUACCUCUCAGUCAGAUAUCCGUCUGAAAAGGCCAAUGGGUCUGCCCUAUCUCGGAAGACUCUUUCAUGCCAGAAUGCUCGUCUGAGUGUUAAAACUUCCUCAUCAACUACAUCAUCCAACAAAGGGCAAGCCAUUGUGAAUAGGCAACACACAAAUCUUUAGUCUCUAUAUACUACAUAUUGACCUCGUUACGGACUUAAUUGAAACCACAUUUGCAAGUUCAUGAGCCAUUUCUUAUUAUCUCAUCAACUGCAAUAAAAUAUAAUAUAUGGAUAUUUUUCUCAUUCAACAGUACAUUUCUACUCAAUAUUUGCAUAGAUAUAUAUUCAUCAAACCUCUGAUAGUGAAAUGAACAGCAGUUUUCAAUAAUAAUUAAAAUAACAGUAUGCAUACUUAGAUGAAUGACAGAAUAUCUAGUAUUUCAUUGCAGGACCAUGAAGUGACUAAAACACAUUGAUAUCUAGUAGGAUUUAGGGAGGAACUAGCCGAUAAAUCACUAGGAUUAAUCUUAGCCUGGUUGUUAGCCUGCUCUGGAGCAGGCUAGCUGCAAAGUGAAAAUCUCCAUAGUAACUUAAUGUAGAUUGAAAUUAGCCUUCCUUCAUGCAACCGAGUCAAGGCUAAAUUAAUCCCUUAUCUUGCUUUUGUGCAAUAUCCCUCCGAUCAUAAAACUACAAUCAAAGCACAUCUGCUACCUACUAGGUUUAGUUGAUCUUAGUCUGUCCAAGUGAAAAAAGCCGGCGCUUCUCCGCCAAUCAAAUGUUGCCCUCACUAUGGCUUGUUCUUUGUUGGACCAUCUAAAUGACAUUACAGUUUGCAUUGUUCAUAGCAUUGCAAAGGGAAAAGAAAUUGCAACAAAAAUAGAUUCUUCAAAUCAUUCAGAAUAUGUUAUUGUAUAUAAUUAUUUUAAUCAAUCAAAUAUUUGACCAACUUUCUAAAUCAUUCCAUAGUUCACUUAACCAAGGUUCUGCUUUGACCACUUUAUGAACAAGUUAAUUCUAUAGUGCAAUGCUGCUCAGUACAACAAAGCAUUUCAUCAGAAUAAUUGCAAACCAGGUCAGUCAAAUAAAUGUCAUGUGUGCAAAUUACAGUGGCUAUCAAAAUUAUUCACCACUUGGACCUUUCCACAUUUUGUGAUACAUGAAAUCAAAAUUGAUUUAAUUAGGAUUUUUGGACAUGGAACCCAAAAAAGUCCCUAAUGUCAAAGUGAAAAAUUAAAUCAACAAAUAUAUCAAUUAAUUACAGAAUGAAUAACAAAUACAAAAGAGAAAAUGUUUGAUUGCAUACGUAUUCACCCCUUUAGUCCAUUUUUAGAAGAGGCUCCUUUGGCAGCAAUUAAUGCCUGUUAAUGAGUUAAUAACUGCCACUGUAAUUGCUUAGUAAAUGCCUGUUUCAUCACAAUUAGGGUGUUUUAGAAUAACUAAGUUGAUGAAUAUAAUCAUGUUUACUCAAUAUAUAUAUUUAAAAUAUAUUUGAGUAGUCUGUCAGCCAUAGCAGAGAUGGGCUAACUAAUGUCAAUGUAAUCCUGCAUAUGGUAGGUUGAUGUAAAAAUGAAUAAAGAAUGAAACAAGAAAAUACA